This 581-nucleotide small RNA is filed under the name Pan troglodytes (chimpanzee). RNAcentral describes it as "retained intron". The record is from RNAcentral. Lineage: Eukaryota; Metazoa; Chordata; Mammalia; Primates; Hominidae.
CUGUUUGUCUUUCCCACUACAGCAUAUGUUUCAUUCAAUCAGGUAUCUUGUUUUGGUUCCUACUGUAUCCUAGAAUUUUGCUUAGUUCAUACCGGAUAUUUAGCUGUCUUCAUAAAACAAGUAAGUGAAGUGCUGCUAAGGGGACAGCCCAUAUGCAUUAAACAAAAUCUUGUAUUUCCACAGGACAUUCCCAAUUAGAGGCUUUCAGAUUUAUGAUGGGCCCAUUCAUCUCACAAGGAGCACUUUCAAAAAAUAUGUGCCAACUCCAGAUAGGUACAGCAGUGCAAUUGGCUUCCUCAUGAAGAAUUCCUGGCAGAUAACCCCCAGGAAUAAUAUCUCCCUCGUGAAGUUUGGUCCACAUGUCUCUCUGAAUGUCUUUUUUGGAAAGCCUGGUCCCUGGUUUGAAGAUUGUGAGAUGGAUGGUGAUAAGAACUCCAUAUUCCAUGACAUUGAUGGCUCUGUGACAGGAUACAAGGAUGCUUAUGUGGGAAGAAUGGACAACUACCUGAUCCGCCAUCCAAGCUGUGUAAAUGUGUCUAAGUGGAAUGCAGUGAUCUGCAGUGGGACCUAUGCACAGGUCU